Ribosomal RNA from Lupinus angustifolius (narrow-leaved blue lupine), 119 nucleotides. The record is from Rfam. NCBI's taxonomy places the organism in Eukaryota, Viridiplantae, Streptophyta, Magnoliopsida, Fabales, Fabaceae.
AGGUGCGGUCAUACUAGCACUAAUGCAUCGGAUCCUAUCAGCCAUCUGCAGUGAAGCGUGCUUGGGCAAGAGUAAUACUAGGAUGGGUGAACACCUUGGAACUCCUCGUGUGGCACCUC